CUACGUAGGUGACAAGCGUUAUCCGGAUUUACUGGGCGUAAAGGGCGUGUAGGCGGUCUUGCAAGUCAGAAGUGAAAUUCCUGAGCUCAACUCGGGCGCUGCUUCUGAAACUGCAGGACUUGAGUGCUGGAGGGGAUAGCGGAAUUCCUAGUGGAGCGGUAAAAUGCGCAGAUAUUAGGAAGAACACCGGUGGCGAAGGCGGCUAUCUGGACAGUAACUGACGCUGAGGCGCGAAAGCGUGGGGAGCAAACAGGAUUAGAUACCCUGGUAGUCCACGCCGUAAGCGAUGAAUACUAGGUGUAGGGGGUAUCGACUCCCUCUGUGCCGCAGUUAACACAAUAAGUAUUCCGCCUGGGGAGUACGGCCGCAAGGUUGAAACUCAAAUGAAUUGACGGGG
RNAcentral lists this ribosomal RNA (397 nucleotides) under uncultured bacterium. Its description in RNAcentral is "partial 16S ribosomal RNA". It matches the Rfam family "Bacterial small subunit ribosomal RNA", at positions 523 to 918 of the family's 1533-position model. The record is from RNAcentral.